GUUGUCUACAGUUUGGACAGUUUUGUGACCAAUGAGCGCGUCCCAUUGUCUACAGUUGGGCCUGGCAACCGCGGCAGAAUCCGCUCGGCCAAUCAGAAAAUUCGAAGUAGGUGGGAUUGACACGGCGCUUAAAACUGUAGACUGCGGAUCAGCGGACAUUACAAGCGAGACGAACAUCGACAAACUUUAUAGCUAUUUGACAUCUGUCAAACUUUUUUUUGGCUAUCGGAACAUUUUACCCGUCUAUAAAAACCAACAGUCAAUUGAAGUCGUUGUGUCCCAGCUUCGCCAACAGUGGAUUUUAGCAGGGGAGUCUGCCUUUAACAUGCUAACAACUUCAAGACGCCACCGAAAACGUAAGCUAAAAGGUAAUAUUUCAUUCAAUUGCUUCGAUAUCCUUUCUGCGGAUGUUAUUUUUCACCAAGUACAAGUAUUAGGGUAAUAAUGUGUACAUUGGCUGUCUAUACAAAUGACGGCAAGCGCCGUAGACUGUAAUGUUGCUGUUAGCUCACUUUGCUAGUUUCAGAUGACAUUGAACUGAAGGCUACGGGAAACGCUAUAAUUGUUGUUAUUGUUGUCGUGUCAAAAGGGAUUUUGAGAUAUAACUACGGUUUACUUUAUUGACUACUGUUGUUUAAAAGUAUGCCGGUAUUGGUCGUUUGCUUAUUUGUGCCUCGGUGUUAAAGGCAGCUACUUGACUUGGGUUGAAAACAGUGCGGCCAUAGGUAAACAAACAGCUGCUUGCUUGAGCUACAUUGUAUUUUGUAUUAAGACGUACGGACAUGAAAGCUUACAUUGACGCAAUUAUGAGUGCUUUCGUACUGUUUGGUUGUAUUACACUGUCAUACAAGUGUAAUAUCUGGCGCAGUUGCCACUUCAAUGACUUGCAACGUGUUGCUUUGGUGCUACAACAUUGUAUCUUUCAUGAAGGCGCACCAUCAAAGCUUAUGAAUAGGAGAGAUUUGGUACGGUUUGGCUGUAUGACUUUGUUAUAAUGAACUAUUAGGCAUAUCAUUGUAAUGCCUGGAGCAGUUGCUACUUCAAUGACUUUAUAUAUAGGACUCCCACAUGCCAUGAGAGUCUGCACAAGUGUACAGUACAGGACCAGAGUCUAGUUAUUACAUUUUCCCAACAAUUGAAGCUACAGUAGCCUACUGAAUGUAUAACUGUAGUAUACAAUCUGUGUCGUCCCCCCCUCCUCAAUAACUAAGAGAAGUGGUAAUAGGCCUACUACUGUGUGUGUGUGUGUGUGUGUGUGUGUGUGUGUGUGUGUGUGUGUGUGUGUGUGUGUGUGUGUGUGUGUGUGUUUACAGAAGAGAAUAUAUCCUCUGAUGCCCACGCUGUCCAUCCUGGACACCAGCACCCCCACAGCAGGUUGAGACUCAGACACAGCUUACAAAGAAGCUAUGAAGAAAUGCCAGCUGAUUGCACCUACGCUGACCAAGGCACAAGUACUGGGGUGAGAUGAGAGAUGUGGCACCCUGAGAAGAGGAAGACCAUCAACGAGUGGCCGACUGAGAAGAGGAAGACCAUCAACGAGUGGCCGAAGGAGCAGUUUGUCAAGUAUGCGCACCACUUCACCCCGUACCGUGCUACCUGCAGAUGAAUGUGGACAGAGCCAUCUAUGAACAGACAGGGGAGGUUCAAGUCACUCACCUACCUAGAGAUGUGGCAGUGGUACAGACCCCAGCUGGGAAGAAGACGCUCUGUCCACCUAUGAAACACAAGGGAGACAGUUACUGGAGGCAGUUGGCAGUGGGUUAAGAGACGCCAUCUUGUUUGACGCAUGGUACAAUUCCUGGGAGGCUGAGGACUCUGAGCUGCUCAAGCAAGACAUCAAGAGGAGGAUGAGAAGAGGGGCCUCUUUCUGAUGCUGCAGCCCUUCACAGACAUGUACAGGAGGAAGAGAUGGAGGAGGGUCUUGAAGAACGAUACGAUGUGGUUCCAACCUCCCGAGAUGCCUGAUGUGGUGGAUGGCAGCACGGUGCCCGUGAUAGACAACUCUUCUAGUACUUCAUGCUGACGGUGGUCCUGGCCUGCGACGCCUGCCGGAAAGCCGCCAAGGGGCCGGGAGACCACACCAUCAGCCGCUACCUGUCGUGGGAGGGCAAGAUCCUCAACCAGCUGACCCCAGCUCGCAGAGCAGUCUUUCCUGCAGUGGUGACUCUACGGUGUGGAGUAGACAAGUCCAUCAUCCAUCUCAUGAGGGACCACACA
This is a long non-coding RNA of Engraulis encrasicolus (European anchovy), 2217 nucleotides long. RefSeq lists it as uncharacterized. The transcript is spliced from 4 exons. Lineage: Eukaryota; Metazoa; Chordata; Actinopteri; Clupeiformes; Engraulidae. The record is from RefSeq and is a predicted model, not a curated record.